RNAcentral lists this long non-coding RNA (406 nucleotides) under Malus domestica (apple). RNAcentral's name for it is "long non-coding RNA (MDOM_LNC007585)". Lineage: Eukaryota; Viridiplantae; Streptophyta; Magnoliopsida; Rosales; Rosaceae. The record is from RNAcentral.
AGACCACGGGUUAGUUUUGGGCCUCAAGGCCCAAUGGACUUCGAACGUCAAGCCCAUUAACUUAAGUUGUAUGACAACUUAAUGACAAAUAAUUCACAAAGGCCUUAAAAGCCCAAUGAAACCCUAUGGCCGGCCAUUUAGUUAAAGGACUGGGUUUUGGACUUAAUUACAAGUUUGCCACUCAAAUGAAUGUAGGUAUAAAUAUGACUUUAUAGCCAAAAUUCAUUUAGGGUUUCUUUUGAGAAAAUUGGAGAGAACACAAAGCUCUCCUUUCUCUCUAAAGAGGCCGGCCUCCUUGGAAGGUUUAGCUAGCAAUCCUACUACUCCAAGGUCACUUAUUUCUUCUCCAAUCUAACCUUGGUGAAGAGACUUAGAGGUUCUCAAUUUUGGGAACUUGGAGAACCAU